This 310-nucleotide signal recognition particle RNA is filed under the name Saimiri boliviensis boliviensis (Bolivian squirrel monkey). RNAcentral describes it as "Metazoan signal recognition particle RNA (ENSSBOG00000005350.1)". It matches the Rfam family "Metazoan signal recognition particle RNA". Rfam says of the family: The signal recognition particle (SRP) is a universally conserved ribonucleoprotein. Lineage: Eukaryota; Metazoa; Chordata; Mammalia; Primates; Cebidae. The record is from RNAcentral.
GCCAGGUGCAGUGGCGCGUGCCUGUAGUCCCAGCUACUCUGGAGGCUGAGGUGGGAGGGUCGCUUGAGCCCAGGAGUUCUGAGCUGUAGUGCGUUAUGCCGAUUGGGUGUCGGCACUAAGUUUGGCAUCAAUAUGGUGACCUCCCGGGACCAGAGGACCACCAGGUUGCCUAAGGAGGGGAGAACUGCCCCAGGUCUGGCCCAGGUCAGAAACGGAACAGGUCAAAACCCCCGUGCUGAUCAGUAGUGAGACUGAGCCUGUGAACAGCCACUGCACUCCAGCCUGGGCAACAUAGGGAAACCCCGUCUCU